Molecule: ribosomal RNA, 120 nt
Filed under: uncultured bacterium
Lineage: Bacteria
Description: partial 16S ribosomal RNA
Rfam family: Bacterial small subunit ribosomal RNA
Source: RNAcentral
AGCGAACGCUGGCGGCAGGCCUAACACAUGCAAGUCGAACGCACCUUCGGGUGAGUGGCGGACGGGUGAGUAACGCGUGGGAACGUGCCCUUUGGUUCGGAACAACUCAGGGAAACUUGA